GGACGAACGCUGGCGGCGUGCUUAACACAUGCAAGUCGAGCGGUAAGGCCCUUUCGGGGGUACACGAGCGGCGAACGGGUGAGUAACACGUGGGUGACCUGCCCUCAGCUCUGGGAUAAGCCUGGGAAACCGGGUCUAAUACCGGAUAUGACUCCAUGACGCAUGUUGUGGGGUGGAAAGCCUUGUGCGGCUGAGGAUGGGCCCGCGGCCUAUCAGCUUGUUGGUGGGGUGANGGCCUACCAAGGCGACGACGGGUAGCCGGCCUGAGAGGGCGACCGGCCACACUGGGACUGAGACACGGCCCAGACUCCUACGGGAGGCAGCAGUGGGGAAUCUUGCGCAAUGGGCGAAAGCCUGACGCAGCGACGCCGCGUGAGGGAUGACGGCCUCGG
RNAcentral lists this ribosomal RNA (392 nucleotides) under uncultured bacterium. Its description in RNAcentral is "bacterial SSU rRNA". It matches the Rfam family "Bacterial small subunit ribosomal RNA", at positions 27 to 420 of the family's 1533-position model. The record is from RNAcentral.